Molecule: ribosomal RNA, 253 nt
Filed under: uncultured bacterium
Lineage: Bacteria
Description: partial 16S ribosomal RNA
Rfam family: Bacterial small subunit ribosomal RNA
Source: RNAcentral
UACGUAGGUGACGAGCGUUGUCCGGAUUUACUGGGCGUAAAGAGCGCGCAGGCGGUCGUUCAAGUCGAGUGUGAAAGCCCCCGGCUCAACUGGGGAGGGUCACUCGAUACUGAUCGACUCGAAGGCAGGAGAGGGAUGCGGAAUUCCAGGUGUAGCGGUGAAAUGCGUAGAUAUCUGGAGGAACACCGGUGGCGAAGGCGGCAUCCGGGACCGGUAUUGACGCUGAGGAGCGAAAGCCAGGGGAGCAAACGGG